Plodia interpunctella (Indianmeal moth) is the source of this 3416-nucleotide long non-coding RNA. RefSeq lists it as uncharacterized. NCBI's taxonomy places the organism in Eukaryota, Metazoa, Arthropoda, Insecta, Lepidoptera, Pyralidae. The record is from RefSeq and is a predicted model, not a curated record. The transcript has 7 exons.
CCCGGUUGACUUGCUACAAGUGUGUUUUGUGUGAAUUUAUUUAAUCUGAAAUUUAUUUUCGUGAUUUUAUUUACAAUUUUAAGUUCUGUUUAAAUUUCAACUCAUCUAGUCUAGUACGUAAAAAUUAUAAUUAUUAAUUUUACCAUAACAAUCUCUACAGAUAACAUUUUGCAUAAGUACAUAAUUACAAUAGUUUAAUGAUAAAAACUCCAAUAAUUCUUAGUAUCGAUCACGUUUGACAAUUUACGAUAAGCAGAUAAGGGCGACAUAAGCCAAUUUAGCUAAAUACACCCACGUAAGCAAAGCUAACUCAGUACUGAUUUCGUGUUUAGCAAAAACACACAGCGUUUUAGUUUUUGUUGGAUUAUUAAUAAACAACAAAAUGUGUUGUGUAUGCAGUUUGAUAAGCAAAGUCAUCAGCUUCAUUCUAUCACUGCUAUUUUUUGUGGCAGUGGUUCUGCUCAUUCUGUGGGCCACCAAUGUCCUGUGGAAUAAUUCUGAUACAGAUAACGACAACAACGAAACCACUACAGCCACCUUCAUGAGCGAAGUCACUGGUGCAGGACUGAAACAUUUUAGUAGUACAUAGUUUUAAUUUUUUAAUUACUAUUAAGGUCGGUGUCCAAAAAUCUUUGUUAUACGGAGUUGUAGAUGGCUGCGUAGAUGCAACCAAUGCACAUACAUUGGAUGCAUACACUACGCGUUCGGUACAUGUGUAUCAUACACGCACACAUACGUAGUUAGUCUGCACCGGCCUUUAAAGGUCUACAGCGUUUGUUUCGCCUACACAAUCAACAAAACUAUGUAAACAUUCAAAAUAAUCAUCUUCACAAAAAUAUUUUUUCUCUACACAUUUAAUCUUACAUAUCAUUAGCUAUUUGGUUUGCUAAAAAAAUAUUAUCUGUUCUAAAAACAUUACGUUGUGUAUGUGUUUUGUUGAAUGUUUUCAAUGGAGACCCGACUUAACGUACGCACAUUAGUAAUAAAAAUGAUUUAAGUAACGUAGCCUUACUUGAAGUAUUUUUACAUACUUAUUAUAAGCAUAAGAUCAAACAGGAAAUCUACUUAAGUAUAUGAUAUUUUUUAUAUAUGAAAAAUGUUUUUAUCGUAGAUUUUCUCUGAUUUACCUCAUUGUAAUAUUUCAUAAUAUAAGUGCAUAAUUUAUAUAUGUAAAAUAUUAAUGUAUUUUUUAUAAUGCUUUAAAUAUAAACUUUGAGAUUAAUAUUAACUCAGAUUUUAGUUCAAAUCGUUUAUUUUUCUAAUAUAACUGAUAUUGUCAUCAAGCGUUUUAUAAUUUAAUAUUUAUUAGCGGCCCGUCUCGACUUCGCUCAUAAAAAUAAUAUAAAUUAUACACCUAUACCUCAGGAAUUACACUAUAUACUAAAAUAAACCACAUCUAAACCUGUUGCAUAGCUUUAAAGACCUAAGCGUACAUAGGGGCACAGACAAACCGCAAGAAGCGACUAUGUAGUGAUUCGUUGUUUUCAUUAACAACUUAUUUUACAUAAAGUUUCAACACUCACGCUGGGUUAAUGUGUACAUGCUUAUAAAAUAUGUACAUAAAAUGAAUAAAUAAAAAAACCGGUCAAGUGCGCGUUAGUCUCGCGCACCGAGGGUUCCGUACAAAAUUUUUAAGAUUCGCGGGCGUAUGCAUUUAUUUGGUACGUAACUUGUAAUUACAAAUAUAACAUUUUUUCUGUGAUGUGUGUUCUGUGAUUUGUGAUAAAUUACCAAUUUAUGAAUUUUUUACUAUAUCAGCAUAGAAUGACCUUACUUUAUCCCAAAUUUCAUGAUUCUAGGUCAUCGGGAAGUACCCUGUAGGUUUUGAUUCCUUUGUGAAAUCGCAAAAUGCAAACUAUAAGUAAAUUAACAAUUUUCAGAUAUUUAAACACUAUAUUUAACAAGGAAUACUUGAUAUAUUUUAUAUUUCAUGGAAUAAAAUUACAAAACUAAAGUGUAUACCUGUUAUUUGACCACCCUGUACAUCUUGUUCAUUGUUCUUCGUGUCGAUCUAAAUAAUUCGACAGCGUAUUAUUUUCAUAAAAAAUUCUAAGAUAAGAUCAAAUUUUAUAGAAAUCAGUAACACAAAUUUACGUUUGAUGAAUUAGGUACUCAUGGAAUUAGUAGGUACUCCUACUAAUUCCGUGGAAUUACUUAAGUACAUUCAAAGAUAUGAAUCUGUUUUUUUUUCACGUUAUUUUAUAUAGGACUAGAUGUUACCCGAGGCUGCGAAUCCGUAGGAAUUUUGAGAUAAAAUAUAGCCCAUAGCAAUCUUGGACAAUGUACCUUUCUAAUGGUGAAAGAAUUUUUGAAAUCGGUUAAGUAGUUUCGGAGAUUACCCGCCUCAAACAUACAAACUCACAAACGCUUACCUCUUUAUAAUAAUAGUAUAGAAGUAUAGAUAUAUCGAAAAUAUGGAUAGAAUUAUAUAUGAUCUUAGCUUCAAAAACAAUUUGAAUGGCAUAAACAAAAAUGUCAAUACAUAAAGUGACAGAUCAUUGAUACCUAUAGUAUUUUGAUAUAUUAUUUAAUAUGCUAGAAGAAAAACGAUUUCAGAAUACCAAUAAUCAUCUUUUCUUUAAUUUGACGCAGCAUCAACAUCGUACCAAGAUUAGAAGUGACAAGGGUAAUGUGCAAAUGGACACAUGGACAACAUUCAACAACCCAUACCGAGCAAUAAACAUGAAUCACGAACCCGAUGGACACACGCACGUAACAGUGGAACACACUCAGCACCGCACACAAACAUUUCUAAUGACAGUCCCCUUAUUCCCUGUGAUUUCCGCUCUUGCUGUGUAAUCAUCGUCAUUAUGGGAUUUAUAAUACUAAUCAUUUCCUUGGGUGUGUUAGCCGCUGUAAACACUGGCUUCUUACAUUCAAAUCCGAGCGGGAAACUGGAGUCGCCCUUAAGCGAAUAAUGCUAAACCAUAGCCUGAUGGCGUAAAAUCUUCGAAGAUUUGGAUUUCCUUCGUUGAUAGAUAGCAUCCAAGUAGGAACUUGCGCAAAGAUGCCUACGGUAAGGCCUUAAGAAAGAAAGGCUGAAUUCCAUCAUGCAGGCCCUCCCACUGCAUCAUUUAAUUAAUGUUGGAACGUGAUCACUUGUCCAGACUCGGAACAUUAUUUAUUUUAUUGAAAGACCAACAACUUUCUUUUCUUAUUUUAUUUCUCUCUUUCAUCUGAUCGUGUUUCUGGUUGCUUCCUUUUUGUUGCUGUUUUUUAUAAUAUUAGUUAUAAGAACAUAAAGAAUACGAAAUUAUUACAGUAUGUUACAAUACGUAAUGGUUAUUUUGCACUUACUAUGUACUAUACAUAUAUACAUAUAAUAUAAUCUUCAAAUUUUGACUAAGUCAUUCGCUAAAAUCAGAUAAGCACAGUUUUAUUACUUUAUUUAAUGAAAUAUAUAUGCUUUUCAUCAA